This is a long non-coding RNA of Hypanus sabinus (Atlantic stingray), 1755 nucleotides long. RefSeq lists it as uncharacterized. The transcript is spliced from 3 exons. NCBI's taxonomy places the organism in Eukaryota, Metazoa, Chordata, Chondrichthyes, Myliobatiformes, Dasyatidae. The record is from RefSeq and is a predicted model, not a curated record.
UAGCCCUUUUCCUUUCCCCACCCACCUGGCUUCCCCUAUCACCUUCUAGCUUUCCUCCUUCUCCUCCCCCACCACUUUUUAUUCUGCCAUCUUUCUCCUUCCUUCUCAGUCCAGAAAAAUGGUCUUGACCUGAAACGUCGACUGUUUAUUCAUUCCUCCAGCAUUUAAUGUGUGCUGCUUUAGAUUACCAGCAACUGCAGAACUUCUUAUAUUUAGAAGAAAAGAACCAGCAUGGCGUUGGGCCUUCUGGCCUGUCUGGUGCACCGGCCAGCAACCCCUGACAACCCUAAUGGAGUCAUGGGGGAAUUUACAAUGAGCAACUAACCUAUCUGGUACUUCUUCGGACAGUGGGAGGAAACCGAAGCACCCGGAGAAAACCCAUGCUUUCUGUUCACUUACAAGGGAAAUACCAGCACCAAAUAGCAGCCAUCUACUGUAAGAGAUCAUGAAAACAGGCCAUUUAUAAAAAGCCAUCCAGACAGGACCUCAAACUCUUCUGUGGCCCAUAUUCCUCAUGGGAUGCCUGCAGUCUCAGAUCGCCAGAUUCAUCCAUCUUGUGAGGAUGUUAUGGUAAAGGUAAAAUUGGCAAGUCAACAUCAGAUCCAGCACAAUUCAGCUCAUUGACUAUGCACUCCGCUUCUGACCAAUGAAUAGAGGAAUGGAUUCAAGAUAUUGCUAAACAGAAACUAGAUAAAGUAACAUUCAAGAGACUUUGCCAAAUAAUAUUGUGUCCCUAAUCCAAAUAGAAGCCCAAAAUUUGGAUGAAUGUUGAAAAUACAGCUGACACUUGUUGGAAUUUUAUUGCAUUAAUCAAGUACAAUUUACACUGUCUGAAAAUAAUGACAUGCAGUCUCUGAGUCAACGUGAGUCAUUCCACCAACUCCCUGGUCUCCACUGUUGCCUGUGGAAUUCCCUUCUGGAAAUGACAGUGGGGGCUAAAGGCACUAAAUUAAAUGGUAGGGCUGUUAUAGGUUAUCCAACAUAUUUUCCAUCAUCAACACCUUUGCAAAUUCAGCACAUAAGAGCCUUUUGCCCUCUUCAUUCGACAGGUUGCUUAUUAGCUUCAAACACUGCGCACAUGUUCCUGGCUGUAAGUAUACCUAAUGCAGCAGAGGUGGAAUGGAGUACCAAAGGGAACUACAGACCAGCACUACUGAUUACAGAAUGAUUAAUUGCUCUGUAGUAAUCAGCAGAAUAUAAACAAUUUCUGAAAAGAUAGUUGGUGUUUAACUUGAACAAGAUGGUGCCCAGAUGAUUUCCACUACUUAGACUUAGAUCCAUCAGAAGGCAGCAAUGACAAACCACUUCUGCAGAAAAAAAUUGCAAAGAACAAUCAUGGUCAAAGAUCAUGAUUGCCCACGUCAUGCCGUAGCACCCACAUAGGUAGUGGUUAGCAUGCUGCUAUUACAGCUCAUUCCGGACUCCAGAGUUCAAUUUCAGCGGCCUUUGUAAGGAGUCUCUGUGCCUUCUCCCCGUGGAAUGCAUGGGUUUUUCUCGAGUGCUCCAGUUUCCUCCCACAGUCUAAAGAUGUACCGGGUAGGUUAGUUAGAUAUUGUAAAUUGUCUCCAUGAUUAGGCGAGGGUUAAUCGGGCUUCGCAGGGGUUGCUGGGGUAGUGUGUCUCAAAAGGCCAGCAGGGCCUACUCCAUGGUGUAUCGCUAAAGUAAAAUCAAUUUUUAAAAAAUGAUGAUGAUGGAUCUGCCUUAACAUGAUGGUAAUGGCCAUCAGAAGAAUCUAUGCUUGUAAUCAGUCUAAUC